AGUCUGCAACCCGACUCCACGAAGUUGGAUUCGCUAGUAAUCGCGCAUCAGCCAUGGCGCGGUGAAUACGUUCCCGGGCCUUGUACACACCGCCCGUCAAGCCAUGGGAGCCGGGGGCGCCUGAAGUCCGGGACCGCGAGGACCGGCCUAGGGCGAAACUGGUAACUGGGGCUAAGUCGUAACAAGGUAGC
This 191-nucleotide ribosomal RNA is filed under the name uncultured bacterium. RNAcentral describes it as "partial 16S ribosomal RNA". It matches the Rfam family "Bacterial small subunit ribosomal RNA", at positions 1302 to 1500 of the family's 1533-position model. The record is from RNAcentral.